Molecule: transfer RNA, 75 nt
Filed under: Candidatus Latescibacterota bacterium
Lineage: Bacteria; Pseudomonadati; Candidatus Latescibacterota
Also listed under: 1 other name
Description: tRNA-Glu
Rfam family: tRNA
About the family: Transfer RNA (tRNA) molecules are approximately 80 nucleotides in length. Their secondary structure includes four short double-helical elements and three loops (D, anti-codon, and T loops).
Source: RNAcentral
GGCCCCUUAGUCUAGCGGUAAGGACGCAUGGUUCUCAGCCAUGAAUCAGGGGUUCAACUCCCCUAGGGGCUACCA